Gopherus flavomarginatus (Mexican gopher tortoise) is the source of this 862-nucleotide long non-coding RNA. RefSeq lists it as uncharacterized. The record is from RefSeq and is a predicted model, not a curated record. NCBI's taxonomy places the organism in Eukaryota, Metazoa, Chordata, Testudines, Testudinidae. The transcript has 4 exons.
UCAGGCCCACACAUUUAUUGCACAUCUUGGGAAAAUGGCCUUUUCACUCUAUCGUUGCAGAAGUAGCCCAUCACCAGCACAGAUCUUGGAGCUAGUAGUUUAAAAAGAUUUCUCUUUCAAAGUAAACUGGAAGAAGCCUGCUGUGGGAAUAGCAGCUGCUGGCAGGACAGCAAGUCUUGCACUGGAGCAGUUGCUCAAGACAAACCCAGAGGAGACUCUGGAGUGACUGAGAAGCCAAAGGCUAGGGGGAGCUUUACAAGAGUUGUGCUCAAAGCAUGUGGGGGUAGUGCUCCACUGCCUUCCCGUUCAGCCCCUUGCUAAUAAGCCAGGACCAGCGAGAGAAGAUCUGGGCCAUCUGAAGCAAUCGCACUGGACAGAGAGGGACCAGGGCAGGAAAAACCAUCUCCUAAAACCCUACCUGAAAUAAGCACCCAGGAUUGCAAAAAUUUGUCACAAAAGAGAGAGAUUCAGAGAGUCGUAGAUUGCAAGGCCAGAAAAAUCCACUGAAGCUCCAAGAGAAGACAUAGGGCCCGAUCCAAUGACGCCAUUGGGUGUCGUCCCACUGCCUCCGAAGGCCUUUGAGAAGGGGCUGAAGCAUUCCGCCUUAUUCUCCCUCUUUCAGGAGAAAUUUUCCAUGACCUGACAACAGGGAGCUUUGUCACCGAAUCCAUUCCCGUGUAGCAGGUAGGCUCUGCAAUAGCAUUCUUACUUGGUGAAGAAAUUGCUCCUUUGCUCAGAUGCCACCAGACAGCAAUGUGAUAUUAACCCUCUAGUGCCUGAGGGGUUCAGACUGGGUUUUGUUUUUCUCCAUUGGUCCCAGUUAUGCCCUGGACCCACCCUAAAUAACCUUUUUCCCUCCUUG